Molecule: ribosomal RNA, 301 nt
Filed under: uncultured bacterium
Lineage: Bacteria
Description: partial 16S ribosomal RNA
Rfam family: Bacterial small subunit ribosomal RNA
Source: RNAcentral
CAGUCGCCGCGGGAAUACGGAGGGCGCGAGCGUUACCCGGAUUUACUGGGCGUAAAGGGCGUGUAGGCGGCCUGGGGCGUCCCAUGUGAAAGGCCACGGCUCAACCGUGGAGGAGCGUGGGAUACGCUCAGGCUAGAGGGUGGGAGAGGGUGGUGGAAUUCCCGGAGUAGCGGUGAAAUGCGCAGAUACCGGGAGGAACGCCGAUGGCGAAGGCAGCCACCUGGUCCACUUCUGACGCUGAGGCGCGAAAGCGUGGGGAGCAAACCGGAUUAGAUACCCCCGUAGUCCCUGUCUCUUAUAA